CGCUCCCGCCCGACCUCGCCGCUUCCUUCCGCCGCCGGCCGUCGGUGACCGUCACGCCUUCCCCCGUCUCGGCGCUAUGAGAGCCGCCGCGCCUCCCAGCCAGCGCCGCGCUCCGAAGAAUUACUGAAGUUUGGAUUGCUGUUCAGAUACUAUAAUCUGCAAUAAGUGGCAAUGUCAAGGGUUCCCACCCCACCUCCUCCUGGGGAGAUGUCCAGUGGACCUGUGGCUGAAAGCUGGUGUUACACACAGGUCAAAGUAGUAAAAUUUUCCUACAUGUGGACCAUAAAUAACUUCAGCUUCUGCCGAGAAGAGAUGGGUGAAGUUUUAAAGAGUUCUACAUUUUCAUCAGGGCCAAAUGACAAAAUGAAGUGGUGCCUGAGAGUGAAUCCAAAGGGAUUGGAUGAUGAAAGCAAAGACUACUUGUCAUUAUACUUGCUUUUAGUCAGUUGUCCAAAAAGUGAAGUCAGAGCAAAAUUCAAAUUUUCACUGCUGAAUGCGAAAAGAGAAGAAACUAAAGCAAUGGAAAGCCAAAGAGCGUAUCGGUUUGUGCAAGGCAAGGAUUGGGGUUUUAAGAAAUUUAUCCGAAGAGAUUUUUUACUAGAUGAAGCUAAUGGUCUUUUACCCGAUGACAAGCUUACAUUAUUUUGUGAGGUAAGCGUGGUCCAAGACUCAGUAAAUAUAUCAGGACAGUCUAACACAAACACUUUGAAGGUACCUGAAUGUCGACUAGCAGAAGAUUUAGGGAAUCUCUGGGAAACAACAAGAUUUACAGAUUGCAGUUUUUAUGUAGGAGGACAAGAAUUCAAAGCACAUAAAUCCGUCCUUGCAGCACGAUCUCCAGUUUUUAAUGCAAUGUUUGAACAUGAAAUGGAAGAAAGCAAAAAGAACCGCGUGGAAAUAAAUGAUGUAGACCCUGAAGUUUUUAAAGAAAUGAUGAGAUUCAUUUACACAGGAAAAGCACCAAACCUUGAAAAAAUGGCUGACAAUUUGUUGGCAGCUGCAGACAAAUAUGCACUGGAACGGCUGAAGGUCAUGUGUGAGGAAGCACUCUGUAGUAACCUCUCGGUAGAAAAUGUUGCUGACAUUCUUAUCCUCGCAGAUUUGCACAGCGCUGAACAGUUAAAAGCACAAGCAAUAGACUUUAUUAACAGGUGCAGUGUUCUUAGACAACUUGGGUGUAAAGAUGGGAAAAACUGGAAUAGCAAGUAAGUUUCCCUGCUUCCUGAUGUUCUGUACAAACACUGCUACAUAGACCGCAGAUCUUAAGAACUGUUACUUCAUUUCCACACUACUGAGGCCUGUCACUCACUCCAAGCAACAGACAUAAUGGAGACAGCAGGCUGGAAGUCCAUGAUCCACUCCCACCCUCACUUAGUAGCAGAGGCCUUUCGCGCACUUGCGUCUGCACAGUGCCCACAGUUUGGCAUUCCACGCAAACGGCUAAAACAGUCCUGAAAUCUUCCAUGAACUUAAAGAAAUUGAAUUGACUCUACUCCUCCAUGUCCAGAGGUGUUUUCACAAACCAUAAUGAGAGUUUUUGUUAUCCUUGUCCGCAAAACAGAAGCUGAAAAAGCCAGUUGUUUGCUUUUCAGAUGGAUAAUUUAUGGUUUAAUCCUCAGCUUUAAAUUAGACUGAUUACUCUAAUUCACUGAAAGGCCUUAAAUUAUCUUCAAUGACUCUAGUCCAUAUAGUCUAAUGUAUCUUGAUUUUUUUAUUAUUAUUAUUUUUUAAUGUGCCUUGUCUUUUUGACUAGGCUCUGCAGGAUUGCACUAGCUCCAUAAUGCAGUAAAGUUGAUAACUGAAGAUUAAUUUUUUGAAAGGGAUCUUCCAUUAUUUUCAGAAGAAAAAAGGAAAAAAAAAAAGAUUAUUAUAGUUUGGUCCUGUGCUAACUGGAAGGUUUGAACUAGCCUCUCACUGAAAGCGCUUGAACCGGAGGCACAAAUGCACCCUAGACAAGUGCUGUGUAUGGGGAGAGCCUGUUGACCUCCAGCGAGUACCCACAGGCUAUUUAUGGCAAUAUACUGCUUUGAACAUAAUUUAUUUUUCAUUGUGGGGGCAAAUAUGCAAUGGUUUGGCCCGAAAAUGUAUUUUCAUUACAGUUUGUAAUGCUUAUUGUGUGUGUGUCAAAGCUGUCCGAACGGUGAAAAGAAACACAGAAUAUGAACCUCUUGCUUGUGUUUCUUUGUGGUCCAUCGCUAGUUUACAUUUAAUCCAGAACUGAACGAGAGGUGAAGAGUUCAAUGUGAAAAGAGACAAGUUUUGUAUAUGGAAAAAAUAUAUAUCCCACAUGUACGGUUACAUAGCAAAGUAAAGAACGCAUAGGAUGACCAAAUGUAAAUUGAAGAAAAUGGGCCAAAUGGAUUCUUAAUAUGCACUUUUAAGGUGUAACUUUUGUAUGUUGUGUGGUACAUAUAUAUUUUGCUUUUGAUGAAUCAAUGAGGUACAGGUAAUUGUGGCUUAACUUUUUAGAUACGUUUUCAGAUGCCCACAGCCACAUGGGAUUUAGUUUUGUUAGAAGAGAAAGGCAUGCCUUUUUAAGACUCGUUUGAAGGUGACUAUUGCAAGCUUUCAUAUUUAAGUGACAGAAUACUUUCGCUUAUUUGAAAGAGGUAUGUGGAAGGCAAAAUUGCAGAGGAGAGGCUUUCACCAUCUCAACACAUGCACAGCUUCUCUUAGCACCUGGGAAGCUCCAUAUGCAUCAGGAAGACACUUUCCAUGGAAUGUCAGAUGUAUCAGCAAGCAGCGACUUGCUCAGUCUUGCAUUUCAGUUAUUGUAUAGCAUGGUGGAUGGUAUUGAAACUCUGCAUAAUGUGAAAAGGAUGAAACGUUUAUUAAAUGCUUCUCAUGGGCCAGUUCUUUAUUCCAUGAACCUUAGCUUUAAUACCAGUGUCCUCGGUGUUUGAUAGCUUUGUUUACAAUUGAGAGGACAAGUUUGCAGUAGUGCACACACAAAAAUGUUUCCUGAGUUAUUACAUUGAGUUUACUGUAAUAGUGAUGUGUUGCAUUUCUUCUUUGGGAAGACUUGGGUAUUAGCAAUGGGGAUUGGGAGGAGAUCUCACCUAAUUUAUGAUCAUGUUUGGAUAAAGGCUUUACUUUGCCUGUUUGAAAACAAAAAAUAUAUGCAGGGAACAGAGAGGAGGAGUUGUUGACUGUCUGACGGUCUUUUCUCCAUCCUCAUUUCAUUGAGGUUCUUCUGAAUUGUGCUAAAUGAAGUUUUUAGAGGAAAGAAUGUCUACUUUUAUAGUCUGGCAAAGGCAAAUUGGACAAAAAAAAAACCCGCUCAUGCUCACCCUAAUUUCUUAACAAAAUAAUCUCUAAACAUGCAUUCUUUUUCUUACCUUCCAUCUAAAUCUUUUACGAUAAUUAAAGAAUAAAACCAGAAACUUUUAAUAGCACGUAAGGCAUCAAAUUAUAUAUUUACAGAGAUUUAAAUCAAUUUUUAAAUAUUUAUCUAAAAUGAGAUCUCAGAAGCAUUUUUCACAAUGAGAUGUGAAGGUAAUUGUUCCCUCCAAAGCAGUGCUGCUUUUGCUGCACUGUGCAAUGUGUGCGGACACAUUAUGCCCUCAAACCCACCACUGAUAAAACUUGCAGCCCUAACGAACUGAGUGACUUGAAUAUUCAGUACUGCAAUCAUUGUGCAGUUCGGCUCGUUCUAAAGUAACAACGUGCAGUAAUCUAAUGGAAAGCUUAAGGAUUUUACAAAGACCCUUUUUUCAGAAGCUUAAUAGCACACUUGUACCAAAAAAUGUCAGCCACUGUGCUGCAAUAUCACCUACAGAGUGAAGCGUCCACUUUUCAAGUUAGGCAGCGUAUACCGUACAUGAUGCCAACAGGAGAGAAAACAGACCACGUAAUCUGAUUGGAUUUGGGUUUAUUUAUUAGGUAUGUUUUGAUGUUUGGUCAGCUCUUAAGAAAAAAGGUAAAUCAGUUGCUGUAUUCUUGAGUGCACUAAAAAUCACCUCUUCUGUUCUUUGAACACAUGCGGUGUUUUGUCUUAUUGAAACGGGAUAGCUGUUAAUUGCAACCCUCUCCUUUGGAUUCAGCAGCUUGUUUUCAUCCCCUACAACUCAAACACUUGCCCUUUAAAGCAUCAGUUGUCAGUUCUGAGUGCAGCAGGUAGAAAACUACAUCAUACGAUGGACAGAUUGGGGGUUGGUUUUUCUUUUUCAGGAUGGAAUUUUAGGAUUUUUUUCUUAGUUUUGUAUACAGAUUAGGAAUAUAUUGUAUGAAGGUGCCACGUUUUGGCUUGCCAACACUACUCCCUUGGAUAUAUGUGAACCACCGCUUGCAUACUUUUCUGGGGAGAACCCUGCAUGUGUGUGUCCUGUGUGUGUGUGCGUGUGUGUAUGUAUGACUGUGCGGUGUUUUUUGUCAAGAAUGACUUUCUAAAUAUAAGGACUCAAUUUGCUGUUAAAAUGCUAUUAUGUAUUAUAUAUAUAUAUAUAAAUAUAUAUAUAUUUGUUUUCCAUUUGAACCUCUCCUAAGGAGAUGCUUUGGGUGGAAGAGGCUUCAAUAAACAGUCCUCCUUUUCUAGUCCAUUUACUGCAUGCAGAAGUGUAAACACAUCGUGCCUUUUUAGGAAGCCGUUGCAAUGAAGGGAAGAUUUAACAGGAAACCAAGUCUUUUUAAAAGGUAUUAUUUCAAGGUGAAGGAGAACGUUUGGAACACAGUAGAGACUUGAGGCAGAAGUUACAGAUCAUGCUUUGAGCUCUGUUGCACGUUGACUGCUGCUUUUGCAGUUAAGUUUCGCUGCAAGAGUUGUGAAAUAACAGAUACAAGUUGAAUAAUGGUCUGUUUUGUGGAAGCGUGAAAACAUUUGCUGUUACAACCUGAGUGUGUGUCAAAAUCACAGACACUAAGUUAGUUUUAUAAGUCACUCUUACUCUGAUGUUUUUCUCAACAAUGGGUGUUUAAUACGGCAUUCACCUUUCUGCAGGUCAGUAGGAGACCUAUGUGGAGAUUAUUCCUUUUAAAUCCUCAUGGAAAGGCUUCUCCCUUGGGGGAGAAUAAAGUGAUGUGCAGUGUUUGAAACUGUGUUUCGUAAGGCAGUGAAUUGCAGAUGUGAGGUGUUGCUGCCUGAAAUGUUGAGUUAGGCUGAAUUUUACAACUGGUUGGUAAAAUACCUUGAUAUCUUUUUAUUUUGACAAGUGGAAUGUUCUUUAUCUGAUGUUGGUAUCUCCUGUAGUGCAGAGCUUAGCUCGUUAGCUAGCAAGUCACUGACUUAAUUUCAUAACUUGGCUUCUGCUUACAGUAAAUGGACUAUGUUUGUAAAGGGAAUUCACUAUUUCAAGUGUUUUGCAAGGAACUUCACUGUAUUUGUAACCUGUUUUUUGAAGGCUUAAGAUAAAUGAGUCCUAUUUUAGAAAUCAAGCCAGUGAAAUGACUUGGACCUGUUUUGGGGUGGAAAUGAUUAAGAGAAUUCAGACGUGUAAACAGUCGUAUCGAACCAUCCAGCCUUUUUUAUCAGCUGAUGUUAAUGGUGAAAUACUUUUUGUACCUUGUUGCUGAAAAUAUUUUUGCGUUUCAGCACAUCAAGUUACAAUAAAGUUGUUACUUAUACAGAA
Coturnix japonica (Japanese quail) is the source of this 5564-nucleotide RNA transcript. It is a transcript of the gene named speckle type BTB/POZ protein like, with no coding region annotated. The record is from RefSeq and is a predicted model, not a curated record. NCBI's taxonomy places the organism in Eukaryota, Metazoa, Chordata, Aves, Galliformes, Phasianidae.